This 65-nucleotide non-coding RNA is filed under the name unclassified sequences. Its description in RNAcentral is "L2-Alphaproteobacteria ribosomal protein leader". It matches the Rfam family "L2-Alphaproteobacteria ribosomal protein leader". The record is from RNAcentral.
GCGGACCUACGGGGCCGCAUAACCUUUCAGGCCCAAAUUGGUCUGAGCUAAACGGAAGACAGAAA